RNAcentral lists this non-coding RNA (44 nucleotides) under Trichobilharzia regenti. The record is from RNAcentral. Lineage: Eukaryota; Metazoa; Platyhelminthes; Trematoda; Strigeidida; Schistosomatidae.
AUUCUGUGAUGAGUCCCAAAUAGGACGAAAUGCGUAUCCUGGAU